Molecule: unclassified non-coding RNA, 288 nt
Filed under: Hevea brasiliensis (rubber tree)
Lineage: Eukaryota; Viridiplantae; Streptophyta; Magnoliopsida; Malpighiales; Euphorbiaceae
Source: RNAcentral
AGAAUAGAUCGAGGUAUGCUUCACUGCCCAAUGCGAACCCUGCUUUAAGCAGUUGUUGCCUGGUAGGAGUUGAUUUCAGCUCGUGUUCUAUUGAGCGUCGCCCCUCGCUUCGCCAGCCGAUGCGACCGACAGACAUCCUAGCCUUCCUGUCGCCGUUCUCCAGUUGAUCCUUCAGUGCCCUUUCACUGUUCUCUUCAAGGUGGACCAACGCCCCCAGCGCCUCAAAACGAUCGAACAGCAGAGCAUUGUCUGUGGGGACGCCCAAAAACGCCGUGCCCCACUCGAAGG